UGUCUUCCACCUCAUUUGACUUAUUUUUGAGACAGGGCUUCUCACUGAACCCAUAGGCUGCUCAUCUAUGAGAGACUGGCUGUCAGUGAGCUCUGGGAACCUUCCUGCCUCCACACCCCUCAGCACUCAACGUCCAUGUAAAUGUUAGGGAUCCACACCUCUCCGUUCUUAUGAAGGACAUAAGGGCUUUGUGGUCUGUGUAUCAGGGUUCAAGAUGGGAAGAAUGGGAUGACCCCUAGAGCCAGGAUACUUCCAGACUUCGAACUUGCAUGCAGAUUGGACCCUGCAUGAAGCACUCUCACCUUGGUCCCCUGCUCCACCGAACUCUUUCAGAGACGGGGAACGCAAGCGCCUGCCCUUCUGCUGCAUGGCCUGGCCUGAGUCUGAUCUGAGAGAGGGAAGCCUGUUGCCCUGGGUCAUGGCUGAGGCCUCAAGAGUUCUGAAGCCCAUCCACACUGGUAAUGAGUCCGGACUGGGGAUCACAGAAAUUAGAGAUUGAGAAAGCUCUCAGACAAGCUUGGGGGCUGCCUGCCAGUCUCGGAGAUGGCCUCGCUCUGCAGAAUCACAGACGGACGGGAGAGGGUUCUAGUUUGUCCGGGCUUCUUUGACGGUGCAAGCUUGGGAGCCCAUAAAACUUUUGUUUUGCAACUCCUCCUCACAAACUGGAUGUCUUUACCUUUAGUGACAGGUAUUUUCUUUGUAUUUGGGGCUAAAGGUCAGCGGGAAUAAAACCUUAGCAUCCUAGGAAAUCUAUGACAAACAUAAUAAAAUAAUGAGAAGGUAGUCUCCAGUCCCCAUCAACCAAAACCCAGCUUCCAAACCUGUUUUUUUUUUUAGAUGAAAG
Long non-coding RNA from Rattus norvegicus (Norway rat), 844 nucleotides. RefSeq lists it as uncharacterized. NCBI's taxonomy places the organism in Eukaryota, Metazoa, Chordata, Mammalia, Rodentia, Muridae. The record is from RefSeq and is a predicted model, not a curated record.